RNAcentral lists this ribosomal RNA (427 nucleotides) under uncultured bacterium. Its description in RNAcentral is "bacterial SSU rRNA". It matches the Rfam family "Bacterial small subunit ribosomal RNA", at positions 355 to 774 of the family's 1533-position model. The record is from RNAcentral.
UGGGGAAUAUUGGACAAUGGGCGAAGGCCUGAUCCAGCCAUGCCGCGUGUGUGAAGAAGGUCUUCGGAUUGUAAAGCACUUUAAGUUGGGAGGAAGGGAACUUACCUAAUACGUGAGUAUUUUGACGUUACCGACAGAAUAAGCACCGGCUAACUCUGUGCCAGCAGCCGCGGUAAUACAGAGGGUGCAAGCGUUAAUCGGAAUUACUGGGCGUAAAGCGCGCGUAGGUGGUUUGUUAAGCUGGAUGUGAAAGCCCCGGGCUCAACCUGGGAACUGCAUCCAAAACUGGCAAGCUAGAGUAUGGUGGAGGGUGGUGGAAUUUCCUGUGUGGCGGUGAAAUGCGUAGAUAUAGGAAGGAACACCAGUGGCGAAGGCGACCACCUGGACUGAUACUGACACUGAGGUGCGAAAGCGUGGGGAGCAAACA